This 232-nucleotide ribosomal RNA is filed under the name uncultured bacterium. Its description in RNAcentral is "partial 16S ribosomal RNA". It matches the Rfam family "Bacterial small subunit ribosomal RNA", at positions 85 to 334 of the family's 1533-position model. The record is from RNAcentral.
CAAUACGUCAGCGGCAGACGGGUGAGUAACGCGUGGGAACGUACCUUUUGGUUCGGAAUAGCUCAGGGAAACUUGAAUUAAUACCGGAUAAGCCCUUACGGGGAAAGAUUUAUCGCCGAAAGAUCGGCCCGCGUCUGAUUAGCUAGUUGGUGAGGUAACGGCUCACCAAGGCGACGAUCAGUAGCUGGUCUGAGAGGAUGAUCAGCCACAUUGGGACUGAGACACGGCCCAA